RNAcentral lists this transfer RNA (65 nucleotides) under Diaphorina citri (Asian citrus psyllid). It matches the Rfam family "tRNA". From Rfam's summary of the family: Transfer RNA (tRNA) molecules are approximately 80 nucleotides in length. Their secondary structure includes four short double-helical elements and three loops (D, anti-codon, and T loops). Lineage: Eukaryota; Metazoa; Arthropoda; Insecta; Hemiptera; Psyllidae. The record is from Rfam by way of RNAcentral.
CCCAUGGUGUAGUGGUCACUGCACUCGCCUUGCACGCGGGAGACCCGGGUUCGAUUCCCGGCGGG